GUGGUUCUGGAUACGGUAAGGCACAGGACUUUGACUCCUGCAUUCGUUGGUUCGAAUCCAACUAGCCCA
Molecule: transfer RNA, 69 nt
Filed under: Dorea sp. 42_8
Lineage: Bacteria; Bacillati; Bacillota; Clostridia; Lachnospirales; Lachnospiraceae
Description: tRNA-Gln
Source: RNAcentral